Molecule: long non-coding RNA, 835 nt
Filed under: Gallus gallus (chicken)
Lineage: Eukaryota; Metazoa; Chordata; Aves; Galliformes; Phasianidae
Description: lncRNA (ENSGALG00010016164.1)
Source: RNAcentral
AGGGCUUCAUGCGGAAGACCAAGUCCAGGAGAAAACCUAUGCUUGGAAAAAGGCCUUGGCUGGCUUCAACAUGGCCCACUUCAUGAACACACACCUUCUGAUGCCAGAACAAGAGAGAGGACAGCGUCCAGUCAGAAAAAAAUCACAGCAGAGAGAGAAUGGGACUGCUUCUUUUGGCUUCAGUACUGGACUCAAGUGUUUGUGGAAUCAAAGCCUUCCAGCGCCAGGAGACAAAACUGCCUGAACAGCAGCACUGCAGUGACUCUUGGCAACAGCAUCCUGCUACCUACUCUUGGUUUGGAGCCACAUCCAAGUGAUACUACUGGGUUAAAUGAAGAUUAGGAGGAGUGAAAAGCAAUGCAGGCCGUGUGCUGGAAAGUUCUGGAAGGAGGUCCCUGAAGGAUGGCUCAGUGUUGACUUCCAGACAAAUUUAAAGAUUACAUCAGUCAAUGGACAUGUUCUUAGCUGCUUUGUAUCCCACGCUCUGAAGUCCAAUCUGGAGUGCAGCCCCUUGUCUCUACCUGUUGGAGUGCAGCACUGCCAGCGCUGGGAUCAUGUUUUCAUCACGUCCAUGAAAACAACAUCACACAGAGGGGAUUUGCUGAGUAACAACAACCCAUUUCUGUCCUCAUAACAAGGACUAUGUCUGCAUGUGGAUAUUUUUUAUUGGUUGCAGCAGUUAUAUUUUUAUUAGCGCUGCGGCUUUUUAACAGUAAUGGCAAGAUUUUAUAACUCUUCUGAGCCAGAUCAGUAACUGCUGCCCCUGAAGAGCAGCCCUUACUUUACCCUCUUCCUUCUCUACUUCCAUAUUCCUCUGCCCCCGCUCAAUUCUCCU